RNAcentral lists this ribosomal RNA (399 nucleotides) under Heterophasia capistrata (rufous sibia). RNAcentral's name for it is "partial 12S ribosomal RNA". It matches the Rfam family "Bacterial small subunit ribosomal RNA", at positions 541 to 1105 of the family's 1533-position model. Lineage: Eukaryota; Metazoa; Chordata; Aves; Passeriformes; Leiothrichidae. The record is from RNAcentral.
AAAUUAACAUUAUAACGGCGUAAAGAGUGGUCACAUGCUAUCCAAGUAGCUAAGAUUAAAAAGCAACUGAGUUGUCACAAGCUAAAGAUGCGGCAUAAGGCCUCUAUUCAAAGAAGAUCUUAGACUAACGAUCAAUUGAAGCCACGAAAGCCAGGGCCCAAACUGGGAUUAGAUACCCCACUAUGCCUGGCCCUAAAUCUUGAUGCUUGAUCUAACCGGAGCAUCCGCCCGAGAACUACGAGCACAAACGCUUAAAACUCUAAGGACUUGGCGGUGCUCCAAACCCACCUAGAGGAGCCUGUUCUGUAAUCGAUGAUCCACGAUGCACCCAACCAUUCCUUGCCCAAAACAGCCUAUAUACCGCCGUCUCCAGCCCACCCUCCAUGAGGGCCCAACAGU